GCGGGCUUGGCCGAGCGGUCAGGCAGCGGUCUUCCAAACCGCACAGGCGGGUUCGACUCCCGCAGCCCGCUCCA
RNAcentral lists this transfer RNA (74 nucleotides) under Gammaproteobacteria bacterium. RNAcentral's name for it is "tRNA-Gly". It matches the Rfam family "tRNA". From Rfam's summary of the family: Transfer RNA (tRNA) molecules are approximately 80 nucleotides in length. Their secondary structure includes four short double-helical elements and three loops (D, anti-codon, and T loops). The record is from RNAcentral. RNAcentral also lists the same sequence under 2 other names. Lineage: Bacteria; Pseudomonadati; Pseudomonadota; Gammaproteobacteria.